GAAAUUUCAUUAUUUUCCUUCAGCUUUGCGCAAUUAUUCAGAGACGAUUAGUAUGGGCCUUGUGCAAGGAUGACAACAAAGUUUGAAAAAUGGUUCCGAUAAUU
Dendrobium catenatum is the source of this 104-nucleotide small nuclear RNA. NCBI's taxonomy places the organism in Eukaryota, Viridiplantae, Streptophyta, Magnoliopsida, Asparagales, Orchidaceae. The record is from RefSeq and is a predicted model, not a curated record.